UACGUAGGUGGCAAGCGUUAACCGGAUUUACUGGGUGUAAAGGGCGUGUAGGCGGGAAAGCAAGUCAGAUGUGAAAACCAUGGGCUCAACCUGUGGCCUGCAUUUGAAACUGUUUUUCUUGAGUACUGGAGAGGCAGACGGAAUUCCUAGUGUAGCGGUGAAAUGCGUAGAUAUUAGGAGGAACACCAGUGGCGAAGGCGGUCUGCUGGACAGCAACUGACGCUGAGGUACGAAAGCGUGGGGAGCAAACAGG
Molecule: ribosomal RNA, 253 nt
Filed under: uncultured bacterium
Lineage: Bacteria
Description: partial 16S ribosomal RNA
Rfam family: Bacterial small subunit ribosomal RNA
Source: RNAcentral